RNAcentral lists this ribosomal RNA (769 nucleotides) under uncultured bacterium. RNAcentral describes it as "bacterial SSU rRNA". It matches the Rfam family "Bacterial small subunit ribosomal RNA", at positions 8 to 796 of the family's 1533-position model. The record is from RNAcentral.
AGAGUUUGAUCCUGGCUCAGGAUGAACGCUGGCGGCGUGCCUAAUACAUGCAAGUCGAACGGAGGAGUAGCAAUGCUUCUCAGUGGCGAACGGGUGAGUAACGCGUUGGUGACCUGCCUCAAAGAGAGGGAUAACAGUUCGAAAGGACUGCUAAUACCGCAUGUGAUCGUGGGGAUUAGACGCCUCACGAUAAAAAAGCGAAAGCUGCUUUGAGAGGGACCUGCGUCCCAUCAGCUAGUUGGUAAGGUAACGGCCUACCGAGGCGAUGACGGGUAGGGGACCUGAGAGGGUGACCCCCCACAAUGGAACUGAAACACGGUCCAUACACCUACGGGUGGCAGCAGUAGGGAAUAUUAGUUAAUGUGCGAAAGCGCGAACUAGCAACGCCGCGUGUACGAUGAAGGCCUUCGGGUCGUAAAGUACUUUUCAGAGGGAAGAGGAAGGACGGUACCUCUGGAAUAAGCCUCGGCUAACUACGUGCCAGCAGCCGCGGUAACACGUAGGAGGCGAGCGUUAUCCGGAUUUACUGGGUGUAAAGCGCGUGCAGGCGGUUAGGGAAGUUGGAUGUGAAAGCUCCUGGCUUAACUGGGAGAGGUCGUUCAAUACUCCCUGACUCGAGAGUGGUAGAGGAAGGCGGAAUUCCGGGUGUAGUGGUGAAAUGCGUAGAUAUCCGGAGGAACACCAGUGGCGAAAGCGGCCUUCUGGACCAAUUCUGACGCUCAGACGCGAAAGCUAGGGGAGCAAACGGGAUUAGAUACCCUGGUAGUCC